Molecule: ribosomal RNA, 484 nt
Filed under: uncultured bacterium
Lineage: Bacteria
Description: SSU rRNA
Rfam family: Bacterial small subunit ribosomal RNA
Source: RNAcentral
AGGACGAACGCUGGCGGCGCGCCUAACACAUGCAAGUCGAGCGAUAACCAGGGGCUUGCCCUUGGGGACAGCGGCGAACGGGUGCGUAACACGUGAGCAACCUGCCCCCGAAGACCGGGACAACCCGAGGAAAACUCGGACUAAUACCGGAUGUCCUCACCGGAUCGCAUGGUCUGGUGAGGAAAUGGAUUCCGCUUCGGGAUGGGCUCGCGGUCUAUCAGCUUGUUGGUGGGGUAACGGCCUACCAAGGCGACGACGGAUAGCUGGUCUGAGAGGACGAUCAGCCACACUGGGACUGAGACACGGCCCAGACUCCUACGGGAGGCAGCAGUGGGGAAUCUUGCGCAAUGGGGGAAACCCUGACGCAGCGACGCCGCGUGCGGAUGAAGGCCUUCGGGUUGUAAACCGCUUUCAGCGAGGGACGAAAUUGACGGUACCUGCAGAAGAACGGCCCGGCCAACUACGUGCCAGCGAGCCGCGGUAA